Molecule: long non-coding RNA, 8670 nt
Filed under: Homo sapiens (human)
Lineage: Eukaryota; Metazoa; Chordata; Mammalia; Primates; Hominidae
Description: non-protein coding LINC00649:32
Source: RNAcentral
AUUACCUUCUUGAGUUGUGGCUCAGACACUACAACAGAGCUCUGUCACCUCUUUCUAAAAGCUGGGAAAUGGUUAUUGUCAACGCCAGCCCCAUUUUGGAGGCACCUGGUUGCAGGGGACCACAGCUAGCUGGGUGCGGUGGCUCAGGACUGUAAUUCCAGCUACAUGAGAGGAUUGCCUGAGGCCAGGAGUUUGAGACCAGCCUGAACAACAUAAUAGACUGGGAGCUCCAUGAGGUCCGAGACAACCUGAAGACGCCCAGCUCAGCAGAGACUGGCUACGGCAAUCACUCAGUAACUAUUUGUUGAAUUGGACAUAAUAGAAGAGCUGAAGAAUUUUAAACAAGUCACCAUCAGUGCAGUGGAUUCCUCAAAGCAAACCUGGAAAUCUCGGCAUGAGUUGGAUUUAAGGCAGUACAUUUUCAGCUCCUGAAAAUUUGAACAGUUUCUCAAGAGAACAACUUGAAACAGAAAGGCAAGGAUGUAGAUGUGGUUGUAGAAGAUGAUGUCUGCGGCCACCAAACUGUCCACUGUGAAGACAAACCAUGCAUGUUUAGUAGGCAGUGGCUCCUCUUCCCUGUGGGGAGUCCCACUGCUUCCCUGGCCUGGGUGUUCUCUGCCGGUAGAUGUUAUUGACAAAAUAAGCAAAGUCCUCUGAUUCUGAGAAUUAGAGUUAAUGAUAGCUCUAGAUUGCCUCUGCCAUGCUAUUUAAAGUCCUGCUUUAUUGUCUGACAUGAGUUCGGCAUCUAUGAGGACUUGUCCAGUGCAAAGUACAAUCUCCACUGAAAGAUAUCACCAGCACAUCUUGUCACUGUGCUGUAGCAAGCUGGGCAGUACAAUGAUGUUGGCAGGAUCCUGUUUAGGUGGAGGAUGGCCACCUGGGCAUCAAGAAUCUUCUACCCUGAUUCCACAUUGACUCCCCAAAGUGGGCUUCAGACAGCUCUUUACUUACGUCUUCUGAUUAAAGCAGCAGACAGGGUCCCAGCUAGAGAAAAGUUCUGGGAGCAGGAGAGGUGUUGGUGGCUUUAAAACCAGGGGUGAAGAUUGAAUUAGGAGGUUAGGCAGGAGUAGGAUCAAAGACUUAGAAAAUGCUUGUUUCCUCCUAUUAUUCUUAUGAGAGCUGAUACGGGGCUUUCAGUUUUGGGGGAGAGCCUUGGAAGAGAAUGAGGGAAUUUAAUCAACUAGCGGGACCUUUCCAACUUACAUUUCCCAGUGUUUGUUGGAUGAUACGUUUGCCUAAUAAGUUAAAGCUUCCAAAAAUAGAAAGGAAAGCUUGGUGACACUAAGCUCUGGCAUGCUGUCAUCUUCUGGCUAGGGGUCUUGUGCUUCUGUUUUUCUAUUUCUGACCAAAGACAUAAAAUGUGUUGUGACCUCUCAGGUAAUGCUGUGGUAUCAUGUCCAAGCAGUAACUAACCAGAGUGGAGUUUUUACAGGUAAAAAAGUAUUGAAUAGCUCAGCAACAGGGAGGACUUAAUGAUAAAUUGCUUUUUCAGAAAAUGACAAGGGGACAGACACUUGCGGUUCUUCCAUUGAGAGCCUUAAGGAAGUUAAGCGAAGCCUCUGCUCACCCCUUCAAGUAACGAUGACCCAUCAGAUCGUGGUCAUAACCAGUAGCAUCUGAGGCACCCCUAAGCUCUCUGGGCCCCAGAUUCCUUGUUAAGUUAAAUGAGGUGACUUCCCAGUUUACCAUUCUAGGGGUUCCUGAGGAGUUAAAAAUGAAGGAGAAAAUGCAACAUGUACCAAGUGAGCAAGAGCUCAAGGCUUAUCUCUGGCACGAAAGUGACCGCUGUCCGUUAGAGAUGUGAUUGCCCUAGAUUUCCUUUAGGAAAUGCAAACAUUGAACUCUGGCCUUCAGGACCCAAGUCCCGGCUUGCAUCUAUUCUAUACACUUUCUGUUAUUUGUUAGGGCUCACAAGGAACAGUUAUUUAUCUUUUAUUUUCUAUUUUUUUUUUAGAGAUGGAGUCUCACUCUGUCUCCCAGGCUGGAGUGCAGUGGUGCCAUCUCAGCUCACUGCAACCUCCACCUCCCGGGUUCAAGCAAUUCUCCUGUCUCAGCCUCCUGAGUAGCUGGGACUACAGGCGUGUGCCAUCAUGCCCGGCUAAUUUUUAGUAUUUUUAGUAGAGGCAGGGUUUCACCAUAUUGGCCAGGCUGGUCUUGAACUCCUGAUCUCAAGUGAUCUACCCUCCUUGGCCUCCCAAACUGCUGGAAUUACAGAUGUGAGCGACCACACCUGGCCCAUUUGUUUUCUUUCAAACCCUUCUGUAAGACCAGUGCUUUAGGUGAACACGUGGACAGAACAAGAUCAUCACUAUUUUGCAAUAUGAAGACCAACUGCGCUGUGACCAGAAAAACAGAGGCAAAAUGUUGAGCUUAAUGAUACCUUUUUAUAAUUUGUAUUUGGUGUUUCUCAAUUUUCCAUUGGAUAGUUUGAGAGAUAAGUACAAGUCAAUGACAUGUUCUCUUUCGUACCCUAUUGUCUAAUCCUGCUAACACACACACACACACACACACACACACUGAUUACCUAAUUUAUCUGUUCCCCGAUUAUUACACUCUCAAUUGCUGCAGAGUCUCAGAAGCAGCAUGGUGUAACAGAAAGAAUAUGAGGCUUAGAAUCCAAAAGCCAGAGUGUGAAUUCCAGCUCCACUGACUUGCUGCGUGACUUGAAGCAAGUCAUUACGUGUCUCUGUUUACUCAUUUUAUGACUUUCCUAUUGCCUCUGUAAUAUAGCACCACAAACGUGUGGACUUAAAACAACAUGCAUUUAUUCUCUUAGCGUUCUGGAGGUCAGGAGUCUGACAUCAAUUUCGUUGGGCUAAAAUCAAGAUGUUGGUAGGACCAAGAUCCCCGUGGAGGCUCUGGGAGAACCCAUUUCCUUGCCUUUGCCAGCUUCUAAUGCUGCAUUCCUUGCAUUCCUUGAUUGUUGACCUCUUCCCCCAUCUUCAAAGCCAGCAGAACAGCACCUUGUUUCAUUGCCUUCUUUACUGUCAAAUCUCCCUCUGCCUUCUUCUUAUAAGAACACUUGUGGUUGCAUUUAGAAGCUGUGAUAAUCCAGAAUAAUAUCUUUAUCUCAAGAUCUUUGACUUGGUCUCUUCUGCAAAGUCUCUUUUGCCACAGAGGGAAAUAUUCACAGGUCCCAGGGGUCAGGCUGUGUACGUCUUUGGGGGACUUUAUUCUGCCUACCACACUCAUCUUUUUUUUUUUUUUUUUUGGAUGGAGUCUUGCUCUGUCACCCAGGCUGGAGUGCAGUGGCAUGAUCUCGGCUCACUGCAACUUCUGCCUCCCCAGUUCAAGCAAUUCUCCUGCCUCAACCUCCCAAGUAGCUGGAAUUACAGGCGCCUGCCACCACGCCCGGCUACUUUUUGUACUUUUAGUAGAGAUGGGGUUUCACUAUGUUGGCCUGGCUGGUCUUGAACUCCUGACCUCAGGUGAUUCCCCCACCUUGGCCUCCCAAAGUGCUGAGAUUACAGACGUGAGCCACCAUGCCCGGCCCCACACUCAUCUAUUAAGUAGAGCUAGGAAUUCCUAUCCUAAGGGACACAAAAAUGAAAAAAGAUAAAAUUUGUGAAGAGGCACAUAAUGAAAGCCCAUACAUGUCACUGAGUUCAGAGGAGGGUGGGUCUGACCUCCCAUUGGCUGGUCUCUGCCUGAUGGACAUCGUGAAGAAGAGAGCCAGGACUAGUGUGGCUGGGGGAUGUUCAGGGGCCAGAGUGGCUUCAGGUGCCAGCAGCCCUGGCCGAAGGAUGACUCCAGGAGCAAGGCUCAGAGCCGAGUGGAAGAAGCUUCAUAAACGCAACUGAGCCAAGCAUGAUGGGAUGUGCCUGUGGUUCCAGCUACUCAGGAGGCAGGUGGGAGGAUGGCUUGAGUCAGAAGUUCGAGGCUGCAGUGAGCUAUGAUCACACUACUGUACUCCAGCCUGGGUGACAGAAUGACACCCUGUCUCUAAAAAGAAAAGGCACCUGGAUGCUCAUGACCGAGAUGGGGUGGGGUGGGUGGGGUGGGACAGCCGCACUUUAUAACUUUGCUUUCAGCAUGAUGUGGAUUAGUGUCUCCCAUGUGGGAAAAUUAUGUUUACCACUUAGAGACCUGAUAGUGCUUGCUUACCCCAUAACGCUGGACGGUGGCAGGCUUAACUCCCCCAUCAAGGGCCUUAAUGUAUUUGGGGCCCUAGUCCUAGCAACAGCAGCAAAUCUCCUUUUUCUUUUCCUCGAGCUGGUUGUUCACCAGGCAGUUGGGAUGUUAAUGGGAAGAGAAGACACACACAAGUCCCUUGUUUUCAAUAAGGCAGUCUGGUCACGUCCUUAGCAGGUUAUUAAUCUUUUUCAAACCCCUCCUCUCCACCAAGUUUUAUGAUCCUGGGAAGGAGAUUCCUACCUAGCAUCCUUAGAGUUAUCGGGGGUUAGGAUCGGUGCAUGCAGUCACUUCCGUGGAAUCAUCAGUAGCCCUCCAGCCUCUGGGGAGAGCUGCCAGUGGUCAGAGAUGUUGGGAAUUACGAGGGAGGAGCUAGGGAGAAGGAACUCACAGUCCCUCAGUCUCUGAAGGUGGCUCCUGGCAGGAGAGGGGGCCAGUCCUAGAUAAGAGCUCUCCCAGGGAAUUCCAAGGGUCCUCCCAAGGUCCAGCCACAAGAUGAGGAAUUACUGUUGGGCUCUUCCUCAGAUGUGCCUGUGAAUUCAUAUCACAGAUGCUUGAUGCAUUUGACAAUUGUUUAAUUGCUUGAGCCCAACUGAUACUCUUUCAGUCACUUUAAGGGAGUGAUUUCAAGUAUGAUCAUUGCCUCAAAUCUGUAUGGCUUUCCUUGCCUUUCAGGUGCUUUAAGAGGGCUUAUGUUCUUUGACUCCCCUAGUAACUCAAAAGGGUGGCUAAGAUGCAACUCUGGAGGUUUCCAAGCUCUCUGCAAAGCCUGCCUUCAGUAGUCUGUGCACCACAAGAAGCAUAACUUUAUUAUCCUCUAGCUGAAUUUACCUCCUGCUUCGAGCCCCUGUUUUCCCAUGUCAUUUUAGGGGUCCAAUGUUUUUCCUGGAGGCAUAUACACACACACACACACACACACACACACACACACACACACACACACACACACAUAUAUACACACACACAUUCCAGGGGCCUCUGAGGUGCCAAGACAUGUGUGGGGUCCAUCUGGUUCACACUGAUGUCCAUGAUCAUUGAGUUCAUUUUUUAUAUCAACUAUGUGACACUUCCUAUAGUUUCCAGUUCCUGGUUAGAAUUUGCAAAGUUGCCGACUAUUUCUUUGAAUAGAGUAGCUAGAUCAUGGGUCUACACCAGUCAUCAAGCAGCGAUUUCCCUGUUGGAAGCUCCAAGCAAAUUGUCAGCUCCAGCAUUCCACACAGCUGUGGGUGCCACACUCCUUUUCCUUUUAAAAGAUGAUGAUCUGCUAGUGGUGAAUGCUCUUGGAGUUUUAUUUGUAGGUUUUUCUUGUUGUCGCAAAUGUCUAUAUUUCAUCUUCCCUCUUGAGGGAUAUUUUCCAUGGGUAGAGGAUCUAGGCUUUUCUUUUGGAUUCCAUUGUGGCUUUAAAAAAAAGUCAGUUGACUGUUUAUUUAUGGCUUCUCUAAAGGUGAUCUCUUUCUUCCUAAGGCUGCUUUAAAAGUUUCCGUUCCCUCCCUCCCUUCCUCCCACCCCAUCCCCCUUCUUCCUUUCCUUCCUCCCUCCCUUCCUCCCUUCUCUUCCUCCCUUUCUCCCUUGUCUUCCUCCUUUUCUCCCAUCCUCCCUUCCUCCCUCUUUCCUUCUUUUUUCCCUUCCUCCCGCCCUCCUUCCUUCUUCCAUCAUUAUAUAUUAAAAUAUUUUCUUUCUUUCUUUUUUUUUUUUGAGAUGGAGUUUCGCUCUUGUUGCCCAGGCUGGAGUGCAACGGUGUGAUCUUGGCUUACUGCAACCUCCACCUCCCUGGUUCAAGCGAUUCACCUGCCUCAGCCUCCCUAGUAGCUGGGAUUACAGGUGCCCGCCACCACACCCAGCUAAUUUUUGUAAUUGUAGUAGAGAUGGGGUUUCACCAUGUGGGCCAGGCUGGUCUUGAACUCCUGAACUCAGGUAAUCCACCCGCCUUGUCCUCCCAAAGUGCUGGAAUUACAGGCAUGAGCCACCACUCCCAGCCUAUUAAAAUAUUUUCUUCUGGGCCUUCCCUCCUUUUACUUCUUUUGAUACCGCCAUCAAAUGCAUGUUAGGUUGACUCACUGUGUACUCUAUUACCCUCUCAUCUGGUUUUUAAUCUUUCUGUCUCCUUAUACUGUAAUCUCAGUGUUUCUUCUGCUUUAAUUUUGGUAUAUGAAUUAUUCAGCUGUGUUCAAAGUGUGGUUAAAGCGACUUAUAUGCUCUUUAAUUUUUAGUUAUUGUACUUUUCACCUCUAGAAGUUCUUCUGUGACACUUCUUAUAGUUUCCAGUUCCUGGUUAGAAUUUGCAAACUUGUUGACUAUUUCUUUGAAAAGAGUAGCUAGAAUUGUUUUAGUCUGUGUAUAGUGAGUUGAAUAUCUGAAACCUCUGUGAGUCUGUUUCUUUUGUCUGCUAGCCCUACUCAUGGCGUCAUGUUUUCCUGGAUGUUUAGUUGGUUGUCUUUGAAUAUGUCCAACUCCAGUUAUUUCUGGGAAUACCCAAAGGCACACCUGUUCACUAUCACCCAGUGAACUGCCAUGUGUUUGUCUCCUGUCAUGGUAACAUUUGCAUUCAGGGAGAGGCCUCUGCUCUCUGCAGAACAGUGUGAAAUCACCUCAUUUUUGCCUUCAAUGAAGGUUGUCUCUUGCUGGUCACCACCACUUCCUCAAAUGACUAAUGCCACUCUUGCUCACAGUGCUAAGGCGCUAAGGAGUUUUCAGAGGGCUAGAGUGAUUCUGCAUCCUCUGGGGUUCUCAGGAAACGAGGCCACAGGGCCAUCUGUGCAUGAGUGACAGUGGGGUGGGGUGGAUGAGCAGUGGCAGUGGUGGGCACCUAUGCUGCUGGCGCCACAGCUUUUUAUAUCUUGGUGAAAACAACGCCUUGCGUUUUCACUUGUAGAUUCUCCGGCUACAUUCCACAAGAACAAAUUCUGGUCACAGAGGCCAGAGUAGACUAUCAGUGUAAUGGCCCUUCCCCUUUGAUGAUAGCAGCUUUUUUCGGGGGAGCAGGGGUGGCCAAACUUCCUAGCCUUAUUUUAUCUUCCUUUCUAGUUCUCCCCAGAGGCUGCUGGGUCCACCUCUCCCUCUGCCAGACAGACAGGCUCAGACAUGCAAGAACGGAAGGGGGUGUGGGGGUUGGUGGGAGGAUUAAGUUGGGGAAAGCCAGUCUUGUCUUUGUAGAUUACCAGAACUGACACACGUACACACACGUACACUCACUCACUCACUCACUCAUCUAUUCAUCUAUUUUUGGCCUAAGUGCCUUUGGACACUUCUUCGGAAAAGCACAUGAACUCUUCGGAGUCUCCUGUUCCACUUGGUAAAUUUCCUAUAGCCACGCACUGAAAGUCCCUGCUGCCCUCCUUCCUCUGAGCUUGUGGGGCCCACAGAUCCCCUGCUCCACUUCCUGCUUCAUUUCAGCUGAUGGUGAGUCCAGGGCAGGCUUGUAGGAAGGGCGGGCUAGGCGUGGGGAACUGCAGCACCCACCCCACCCCCCGCCCCAGUGCUUGUUGCCCCAGCCUCUGUCUCCCUCGCUGUGCCCUUCCCUUAAGCCCCACUCUUGGCCUCCCCAAAGACAGAGUUUGUUCUGUUUUUAUUGAUAGGAUGACACUCCCUCGUUCUAAUACCAUCUGAAUGCCUGAGCAAUUACAUCUUACAACCUCAUGAAAAACACAGCAGCUUGUCACGAUGAAUGAUGUUACCGUGAAUAAUGCAGUUUUGAGUUCAAACUCCUUCUUAUUCCAAGAAUGAGUAAAUAUCCCUAUUCCCUCCCCUCCCCAUUGCAUUUGGGUUUGACAUGACAUGAAUCAUUGUGGUUUUACUCCUGGGUAGAAUUGUUUUUCUGUAUUGCAUUGCCAAUUGAUGGAAGGACAAAAAAAGGAAACUUACCAAUGAGCAGUUUCAGAUGAACUUAAAUUCUCAGAAAUCUUGAAGAAUGAAUGAACUAUAACUUUCUGAAGUUGCAAAAAUGUUCAAGUCGGAAGUGACCCAUGGGAAGCAACCUGGUCCUUAAUUAGGACUGGAAAGAAAACGGAGGCCCAGCGAGGGAACAGUGGCUUCCCCAAGGUCACACUGCAAGUGAGUGGUGGCACUAGUCACCCAGGAGUCCUCCUGACUCCAUGGUAUCCUGACCCCAGACCAGCAGCCUUAUUUGUGGUUAAAGAACGUGGAAAAACAGCUUAUGUUUGAAUUUUAAAAUCAUGCCAGUACUAAAGAUCUGCAUUCCAUGAAUAUUGAGCUUUGCUGUGUGCGGGUUGCUACGAAUUUUGUAACUAUUUUCUCUAAGAGCUCUCAGUAUUUUACAUAUACAAUUCCAUUCUUUAUUGUCCAGGGAAAAAGUUGCAUUUACUGAGCAGUAAGAGGGUGAUUUGAAGUCCCUGGGGUCCCCCACCCUUGUCUUUCUAUGUGAGAUUGUAUUGCAGGGCUCACAUUUAUUCUCUCAGCAGCUCAUUGCACAGACAGUGUAUUUAUUGAGCACCUACUGUGUGCCAGGAGCUAUGUGGUAAGCUAAGCAGACAAAAACUCCUGCUCUCACAAGAAGAAAGAAUAAACAAGCAGACAAUUGCA